UCUUAAAGCCCACUCCAACAGUGACACACCUACUCCAACAAGGCCACACCUACCCAACAAGGCCACACCUCCUGAUAGUGCCACUCCAAGAGCCAAGCAUAUACAAACUACCACACCCUCUGAGUCAUCUCACCAGCCCCAAAGGUACAUUUAAACAAAACUGUCUGACAUAAGUAUCCUUCAAAAACAUUCAAGGUCAUCAACAUUAGGCAAACUUAAGAGAACAACACAGACCAGAACACAAACACACACAGACUUCAUGUACAUGGUGUCCAUGAAGAUCCUAGACCCUGAUCCUAGAGCAGGAAAAGAUUAGAUGAAAGCUGUGGACAUCUAGGCUGUAGAUGUUGGCUAGUAGCUAAAUCUUAGAGUCACUCUAACAAUAGUAAGUGCACUAUGCUGAUGUAAGUUGCUACUGAUGGAAAGGGCAGGUGUAGGGUAGGAAGUGUCCAUACCUGUCUUCUAACUCCUUCCAUAUACAACAUUGCUCCCCAAGAGCAAUGUAUUUUUAAAAGAACAUGCUUUAAAAAAAAGAAGAAAGAAAGAAAGAAAGGAAGAAAGAAAAAAGAAAGAAAGAGAGAGAGAGAGAGAGAGAGAGAGAGAGAAAGAAAGAAAGAAAGAAAGAAAGAAAGAAAGAAAGAAAGAAAGAGAGAGAGAGAGAGAGAGAGAAUUCACUGUCCAUUAGCUGAAGCUGAGAUUUGCAUGCAUGAUUUUCCACACUACUGGCAGGAAAGCCUACAUUUGGGCUGGGCACAGGUAGUUCAAAAAGAAAAUAGAUGGACAUAUGGACAUAUGGACAUAAUGUAUAUAAGUGCAUUAGUCUAUUAACCUUCAGAAUCUUGGGAUAGCUAUGGAUACCCUUGAAACCAUGCUGGCCUUCCCCCAGAGUGAGACUUGCACAAGGGUUUUUCUAGAGCUCAAACCAUUGUCUGGAGCUCCGUGUACUGGGAAACUUGAUGAAUCUCUUACAUGUAAGAGCCUAGCAGUCUCGGAGGUUGUUCUAAACAUGAAGAUACUUAUUAACAAAAUUAAAUUUCUCCAUGCAUGUGUUUCAGUUGGUGUUUUAGAGCGUUUUCUCUCUGCCUUAUGAAUUGAGGGUCAUCGUCCGCUGUCUGACUCCUUGCAGCUUAGUGCUGGCACAGUGUGGUUCCUUAGCAAACUCAAGUGAGAGAUAACUAGUCACAAAACACCAUAAUUUUGUGCACCCAAAGGACUGUGACAUUCAUGGUAAAUAUGCCCACAAGCCAGUCUGGAAAGACGGCUGGGCAUUUACUUACCUUUCUUUUCUUUAGAGAUUAUUUAUGGUACAAAAAAGUAAUAACAUUAUUAUUCACCUCCUCAUUCCAUUAUAAUCAAGAAACCUCAGAGCCAUUCUCCAAUUGUUCUUCCUAUCUACAGGGUUCACAUUUCUUGGUAAAGGAAGCCACUAGUGAUU
RNAcentral lists this long non-coding RNA (1435 nucleotides) under Mus musculus (house mouse). Its description in RNAcentral is "long non-coding RNA chr2:124525801-124527236". Lineage: Eukaryota; Metazoa; Chordata; Mammalia; Rodentia; Muridae. The record is from RNAcentral.